Molecule: non-coding RNA, 65 nt
Filed under: Saprolegnia ferax
Lineage: Eukaryota; Oomycota; Saprolegniomycetes; Saprolegniales; Saprolegniaceae
Source: RNAcentral
AAUAAUAAUGUACCCAAUUUAAAAAUUGGUAUUUCCAAAAAGGGAAUAAAUAUUCGACAUUAUUA